CUUGCAUAAUGGGUCAGUGACUUAAUCUAGCAUGCAAGCUUAAGCCGUUAGGUGUAGGCGAAGCGAAAGCGAGUCUGAAUAGGGCGACUGAGUAUGUUGGAUUAGACCCGAACCCCGGCGAUCUAGGCAUGACCAGGUUGAAGGUGCAGUAACAUGCACUGGAGGACCGAACCGUUGAAUGUUGAAAAAUUCUCGGAUGAGUUGUGUUUAGGGGUGAAAGGCCAAUCAAGCCGGGAAAUAGCUGGUUCUCCGCGAAAUCUAUUGAGGUAGAGCGUCAGAUGUAUGCCGAUGGGGGUAGAGCACUGGAUGGGCUAGGGCUGCGCGAGCGGUACCAAACCUAACCAAACUCCGAAUACCAUCGAGUCUUGUCUGGCAGACAGACGGCGGGUGCUAAGGUCCGUCGUCAAAAGGGAAACAGCCCUAACCUACAGCUAAGGUCCCCAAGUCAUAUCUAAGUGGGAAAGCAUGUGGGAAUCCCAAAACAACCAGGAGGUUGGCUUAGAAGCAGCCAUCCUUUAAAGAAAGCGUAACAGCUCACUGGUCUAAAUAAGGGUUCCUGCGGCGAAGAUGUAACGGGGCUAAAGAUAUGCACCGAAGCUUAGGGUUCAUAGUUUACUAUGAGCGGUAGCGGAGCGUUCCGUAAGCCGAUGAAGGUGAGGCGUGAGCCUUGCUGGAGGUAUCGGAAGUGAGAAUGCUGACAUGAGUAGCGAU
Molecule: ribosomal RNA, 711 nt
Filed under: Prymnesium parvum
Lineage: Eukaryota; Haptophyta; Prymnesiales; Prymnesiaceae
Description: partial Bacterial large subunit ribosomal RNA
Rfam family: Bacterial large subunit ribosomal RNA
Source: RNAcentral